RNAcentral lists this ribosomal RNA (432 nucleotides) under uncultured bacterium. RNAcentral describes it as "bacterial SSU rRNA". It matches the Rfam family "Bacterial small subunit ribosomal RNA", at positions 338 to 782 of the family's 1533-position model. The record is from RNAcentral.
CCUACGGGGGGCAGCAGUGGGGAAUAUUGCACAAUGGGCGGAAGCCUGAUGCAGCGACGCCGCGUGAGGGAUGAAGGCCUUCGGGUUGUAAACCUCUUUCAGCAGGGACGAAGCGUGAGUGACGGUACCUGCAGAAGAAGCACCGGCUAACUACGUGCCAGCAGCCGCGGUAAUACGUAGGGUGCGAGCGUUGUCCGGAAUUACUGGGCGUAAAGAGUUCGUAGGCGGUUUGUCGCGUCGUUUGUGAAAACCCGGGGCUCAACUUCGGGCUUGCAGGCGAUACGGGCAGACUUGAGUGUUUCAGGGGAGACUGGAAUUCCUGGUGUAGCGGUGAAAUGCGCAGAUAUCAGGAGGAACACCGGUGGCGAAGGCGGGUCUCUGGGAAACAACUGACGCUGAGGAACGAAAGCGUGGGUAGCAAACAGGAUUAGA